RNAcentral lists this ribosomal RNA (253 nucleotides) under Sporobacter termitidis. RNAcentral describes it as "partial 16S ribosomal RNA". It matches the Rfam family "Bacterial small subunit ribosomal RNA", at positions 524 to 776 of the family's 1533-position model. Lineage: Bacteria; Bacillati; Bacillota; Clostridia; Eubacteriales; Oscillospiraceae. The record is from RNAcentral. RNAcentral also lists the same sequence under 2 other names.
UACGUAGGUGGCAAGCGUUGUCCGGAUUUACUGGGUGUAAAGGGCGUGUAGGCGGGACUGCAAGUCUGAUGUGUAAUCUGGUGGCUCAACCACCAAACUGCAUUGGAAACUGUAGUUCUUGAGUAUCGGAGAGGCAGGCGGAAUUCCUAGUGUAGCGGUGAAAUGCGUAGAUAUUAGGAAGAACACCAGUGGCGAAGGCGGCCUGCUGGACGACAACUGACGCUGAGGCGCGAAAGCGUGGGGAGCAAACAGG